AUGCAGUCGAGCGAUUAAAGCAGCAAUGCAUAUAAAGCGGCGAACGGGUGAGUAACAGGUGGACAACCUACCCUCUGGCGGGGGACAACAGCUGGAAACGGCUGCUAAUACCGCAUGUGAUAGCAUUUCUUUGGAAGUGUUAGGAAAGGCGCGUUUGCGUCACCAGGGGAUGGGUCCGCCCCCCAUUAGCUUGUUGGUGUGAUAACAGCGCACCAAGGCUCCGAUGGGUAGCCGAGCUGAGAGGUUGAUCGGCCACACUGGGACUGAGACACGGCCCAGACACCUACGGGUGGCAGCAGUAGGGAAUAUUGGACAAUGGACGAAAGUCUGAUCCAGCCAUGCCGCGUGAGUGACGAAGGUCUUCGGAUCGUAAAACUCUUUUAUGAGGGAAGAACAUCCCGGGGAGGAAAUGCCCCGGGUCUGACGGUACCUCAGGAAUAAGGGACGGCUAACUCCGUGCCAGCAGCCGCGGUAAUACGGAGGUCCCUAGCGUUGUUCGGAAUUACUGGGCGUAAAGGGGGCGCAGGCGGACAGGUCAGUGGAAAGUGGAAGCCCAAGGCUCAACCUUGGAAAGCCUUUCCAUACUGCCUGUCUUGAGUUCGUGAGAGGAAAGCGGAAUUCAGGGUGUAGCGGUGAAAUGCUUAGAUAUCCUGAGGAACACCAAUGGCGAAAGCAGCUUUCUGGCACGUUACUGACGCUGAGGCCCGAAAGCGUGGGGAGCGAACGGGAUUAGAUACCCCGGUAGUCCACGCCGUAAACGUUGUGCACUAGGUGCAGGAGGUA
This 783-nucleotide ribosomal RNA is filed under the name uncultured bacterium. Its description in RNAcentral is "bacterial SSU rRNA". It matches the Rfam family "Bacterial small subunit ribosomal RNA", at positions 55 to 831 of the family's 1533-position model. The record is from RNAcentral.